AGGAACAACGCUGGCGGCGUGCCUAACGCAUGCAAGUCGGGCGGGGUCGUCUUUCGGGGCGGCUCAGCGGCGGACGGGUGAGGAGCACGUGAUCGACCUGCCCAUGAGUGGGGGCCAACCCCGGGAAACCGGGGCUGUUACCGCAUGCGUCCGGCCCCUGGUGGGGGGUCGGGGAAAGCCUUUCGGGGCGCUCAUGGAGGGGAUUGCGUCCGAUUAGCUAGUCGGCGGGGUAACGGCCCACCGAGGCGACGAUCGGUCGCUGGUCUGAGAGGACGACCAGCCACAGGGGGGACUGAGACACGGCCCCCACACCUACGGGUGGCAGCAGCGAGGGAUUUCGGCAAUGGGCGCAAGCCUGACCGAGCAACGCCGCGUGCGGGAUGACGGCCUUCGGGUUGUAACCGCUUUCCCGGGCGAGAUGACGGUACCGGGGAAUCAGCCUCGGCUAACUACGUGCCAGCAGCCGC
Molecule: ribosomal RNA, 467 nt
Filed under: uncultured bacterium
Lineage: Bacteria
Description: SSU rRNA
Rfam family: Bacterial small subunit ribosomal RNA
Source: RNAcentral